Molecule: long non-coding RNA, 2523 nt
Organism: Pan troglodytes (chimpanzee)
Lineage: Eukaryota; Metazoa; Chordata; Mammalia; Primates; Hominidae
Exons: 3
Source: RefSeq, a predicted model, not a curated record
UUUCUUUCACCUCCUGUUCUCUCUCCAGCCUUGCAGCUUCAGGACUGCUGAUCCUGAUUAUGCUGUGCAAAGGGUGUUCGUUCCACGGUCACACUGUCUCUAUGAGGCAGCAACGUCUAGGAGUGUUAUCCCCAUUGAGGGGGCAGAGAAACCAAGGAAGGAGGAGGGCAGGUGCUGGCCCAAGUCACACACAGAUGAAGGCACACAUGGUCACGCAUACCUGGGAAAGCUUAGCAGCACUCCUGGCUCUCCUCAGGAGUUCAUAGAACCCUGCGCUGUGUGGACCACCGAGCUCAGAAGGGUUGCUGUGUGAUGCUCGAAUCAGGAGGCUCUGAUGGACUCUUCCCUUCUCUGUCUCUCCAGCAUCUGACUGAGGCACGUUUAUGGGACUCUGGCGAGGAAGACUCCAGUUUGCAGAACACCUCCAAUGUAGGCAGAGCACCAAUCUAAGCCUGCAGAGACUAGAUAAUAACAGUUGGAAGAUGUCUUUCUUCCCUCCUUCCUUCCCCUUGCGCCCCCUCCCCAAACUAGAAAGUGAUGGGAUCUUUGUGUCAUUUGCAUGAUGACUUCUGGGACUCCUGUGAAUUAGUUGCUUCUUCCUUCUAUAUUUCCACAACCCAGGGCCACUGCUUAAAUUGAACAAAUGAUGCAUCACAAAACUACAACGGGACUCUUCAAAUUCACGGUCGGCGCAAUCUGUAUGUAAUUGUAUUGCAACAAUUGUCCAGCAGAUGGCAGUAAAGUGUCAUGAAACAGAGUUGCCUGGUGACCUGUGCUGCACCUUUGUGAGUUAGCGGCGACCAGGCUUCACACACUGGACUUACUGGAGUCACUACUAAGCCAAGGCCACAGCAGAAAGACCACUGCGUUUUGCAUGACCUAGGGGCUCCAAGUCGGCCUGGCUGCACCAGAGCCCUUUCAAAACACGCGGUUUAGUUCAGGGCUCACAUUGGCCAUUGCCUGGUUUUGUUUGGCCAGCAAGGAAAACGUGCAAAGCCCUGGAUUGCUCCUUUGGGACUUCAUCAGCUGCAAACCCUCACAGUAUUUUUGUGUGUUUGGAAGUAAGAAGAGAGCAAGCGAGGGCUGAGACCUAAUGGGAAGACCCGGCGGCUGGGAGAAGGGCUCCUGGCCAGGAUCCGUGAGUCGGCUUCUUGAAGUGAAAGACAGAACUCUCUGCUCUUCAGGUUCUAUCAGUGCAAAGAGGGCCCACUAAGACCCACUCUGCAGGGCUGUUGAGGAAAGCCCCAUCUGACAGGCACCCGACAAAGCUCCUCACACUCCGUAAAUGCCACCCAUCAUGAAUGUGGCUAUGAUUAAAUUGUGAUGAGGACUGUGACCCACAAGACUGGAAAACCAGUUUGGCACCUUGAUGCAGAUGUUUUCAAGGACUGGGUUAGAGAAUACAUACCAUCAUUCUACUUUUAGCUGUUUUGUUUCAUUAAAACCUUUUUGGUUUUAAUGAAACAAACCAUAACAUGUAUGACAACCAUAACAUGUAUGACAACAUAGCAUGACAACCAUAACAAGUACAAUAUUUUGGCCAAUUUCAUUUAAUUUGGCACAUAGAAUGGAAGAAAUAUUAAGAUAUUAUUUUCUACAUGACUAUGUAGCUGGGAUGAUUGGAACUGAAUCAUUUAUUGCACAUUUGAAUGGUUAAUUUUAUUAUGCUCACAUUGUGUACAUAUUCUGUGGCUUAUAUAUAAUCAGUAAAUAUUCUAUGACUUAUUCCUCUUCAGAAACAUGUGGAAAGAUGAACAAAAAACAACCACAGCAUGACAGGGUUAGGGAAUUCUAGAAAUGGAAAAGAUGUUAAAAAUGGGUUUAUAGUAAAAUCCAACAUCUAGAGGAAGGAUUUAAAGUCUAAGCAGAAACCCUUUCUGGCGGUCUGCAGAAGUCUCCCAUCUUGCUAAAGUGUCACAUUUGGCACAUAUUCCUGGAAAACGUUUUAGUGUUUUUCAAUUAAAUUCCUUAUUGCUGUCCCUCUUGCCAACCUGCUGUUAACUUGCCUCCCGUUGCUGCACCUUCAGUGAUUUUCCAUUUCCUUUAGGACAGACUCCAGAGAAACUCAUAAUCUGGCACGAACAUAUUAAGACUGUUACUUCUUUCCACGUGUCCUUUGUCCCAGUCUUGGCCUCAGUGUGAGCUCAGAUUUCUGUGAUAGGGAGCCACCAUGCUUUGGGGCUCUGGAGCCAAGGGGGCAGGCGUGUCACGGAGGCGUUGCCUCAUCAUUGGGGCUCUGGGGUUCUCCUGUUACCUCUUUUCACACAUCAGUGUGGUGGAGGUUGUGAUGAGCCGAGAGGGAAUGUCAGUGUUACCAAGCAACCAUGAGCCUAUGAGAACCCAGUCGGGAUUAUGGCCACUUGCACUGCGGGUAGCAGGCAUUUAGUACACAGCAAGGACCUGUGCAUGGACAAUCCUGUGUAGUGUACGAAUCACCUCGUGCGUGCUUGUCUAUUUCCUCCUGUAGCUAAAACACUGCUCACAAGUCCUUCCACAGUUACCUAUUAAAUAAUAGUCACCAUC